Molecule: ribosomal RNA, 450 nt
Filed under: uncultured Glomeromycotina
Lineage: Eukaryota; Fungi; Glomeromycota
Description: SSU rRNA
Rfam family: Eukaryotic small subunit ribosomal RNA
Source: RNAcentral
AGCAGCCGCGGUAAUUCCAGCUCCAAUAGCGUAUAUUAAAGUUGUUGCAGUUAAAAAGCUCGUAGUUGAAUUUCGAGAUCAAUUUGUUGGUCGUGCCUCGGUACGUACUGGCAAUUUUGAUUUCUCCCUUCUGAAGAACCAUGAUGUCAUUAAUUUGGUGUCAUGGGGAAUCAGGACCGUUACUUUGAAAAAAUUGAGUGUUUAAAGCAGGCUCGCGCUUGAAUACAUUAGCAUGGAAUAAUGAAAUAGGACGUUUGAUUCUAUUUUGUUGGUUUCUAGGAUCGACGUAAUGAUUAAUAGGGAUAGUUGGGGGCAUUAGUAUUCAAUUGUCAGAGGUGAAAUUCUUGGAUUUAUUGAAGACUAACUACUGCGAAAGCAUUUGCCAAGGAUGUUUUCAUUAAUCAAGAACGAAAGUUAGGGGAUCGAAGACGAUCAGAUACCGUCGUAGUC